RNAcentral lists this ribosomal RNA (484 nucleotides) under uncultured bacterium. RNAcentral's name for it is "partial 16S ribosomal RNA". It matches the Rfam family "Bacterial small subunit ribosomal RNA", at positions 30 to 507 of the family's 1533-position model. The record is from RNAcentral.
AUUGAACGCUGGCGGCAGGCCUAACACAUGCAAGUCGAGCGGAUGAAGGGAGCUUGCUCCUGGAUUCAGCGGCGGACGGGUGAGUAAUGCCUAGGAAUCUGCCUGGUAGUGGGGGAUAACGUCCGGAAACGGGCGCUAAUACCGCAUACGUCCUGAGGGAGAAAGUGGGGGAUCUUCGGACCUCACGCUAUCAGAUGAGCCUAGGUCGGAUUAGCUAGUUGGUGGGGUAAAGGCCUACCAAGGCGACGAUCCGUAACUGGUCUGAGAGGAUGAUCAGUCAGACUGGAACUGAGACACGGUCCAGACUCCUACGGGAGGCAGCAGUGGGGAAUAUUGGACGAUGGGCGAAAGCCUGAUCCAGCCAUGCCGCGUGUGUGAAGAAGGUCUUCGGAUUGUAAAGCACUUUAAGUUGGGAGGAAGGGAAGUAAGUUAAUACCUUGCUGUUUUGACGUUACCAACAGAAUAAGCACCGGCUAACUUCGUG